RNAcentral lists this long non-coding RNA (631 nucleotides) under Homo sapiens (human). Its description in RNAcentral is "HSALNT0197924". Lineage: Eukaryota; Metazoa; Chordata; Mammalia; Primates; Hominidae. The record is from RNAcentral.
CCUCGAGCAGUCUCUGAGCAGUCUCAUGUUACCUGAGAAGGAACGCUGGAGCGGCCCUGGUUUUUCAUGUGCUCCAGCUCGAGCCCUCCCCCAGAAGCCUUCUGGAAAGAGGCGCUGGAUUGCACCUACAGGGGCUGGACGCCCAGUGACCUGGGGGCGCCUCUACUCCCAGCAUUGUGUGGGGCACUGUCCUGGGCACGUAGGAGAGGUUUUGGGGAAGCAAGCCAGUCACAUCCCUGUGCUUGAAGAGCACCAACUGUAUGCUGAAAUACGAGGUUAGGGAAGAGUCAACCCACUGAAUCAAAGGAGUAUUGUUCCAGAUCGAGAGAACAGUUUAUGAAAAAGAGAGACAAAAAAGAAAAAGCCCAUUAUACAAAAUGGAAGAGGGCAAAAAAAGAGGAAAUUCACUGGCCUGGUGAAAAGACAUGAGACUGAAAAAAAAGUCCUUGUGAAGGAGCUUGGAUGUCGCUCAGUAAGCUAGGAAGACACAUUAAAAUUCGAAGGAGGAUGUGCGUAAUCAUAUUUGCAUUCCACAGCCUGUGUUCAUGGUGAACUGAAGGGAAGAAGGCCACUAGGGGCAAUAGUUAAAUGUUCUGGAAACUAAUCUGAACUGUUGCAGAGAAUGGAUUGA